Molecule: ribosomal RNA, 468 nt
Filed under: uncultured bacterium
Lineage: Bacteria
Description: partial 16S ribosomal RNA
Rfam family: Bacterial small subunit ribosomal RNA
Source: RNAcentral
AACGAACGCUGGCGGCGUGCUUAACACAUGCAAGUCGAACGGAAAGGGCCUGCUUUUGUGGGGUGCUCGAGUGGCGAACGGGUGAGUAACACAUGAGUAACCUGCCCUUGACGUGGUGAUAACUGCAGAAAACUGGGGCUAAUACCGGCGAGGAGCUCCUGCUGCAUGGGGGGGGUUGGAAAGUUUCGGCGGUGAGGGAUGGACUCGGGGCUUAUCAGCUUGUGGGGUGGGUAGUUGCUUACCCGGGCAUUGGCGGGUAGCCUGCAUGGGAGCGUGGCCAGCCACCUUGGGACUGAGAUAGGGCCCAGACUCCUACGGUAGGCAACAGUGGGGAAUCUUGCACAAUGGGCGGACGCCUGAUGCAGCAACGCCGGGUGCGGGAUGACGGCUUUCGGGUUGUAAACCGCUUUAGCCUGUGACGAAGCGUGAUUGACGGUACUGGCUAAAGAAGCACCGGCUAACUACGUG